CGAGCGAAUGGAUUAAGAGCUUGCUCUUAUGAAGUUAGCGGCGGACGGGUGAGUAACACGUGGGUAACCUGCCCAUAAGACUGGGAUAACUCCGGGAAACCGGGGCUAAUACCGGAUAACAUUUUGCACCGCAUGGUGCGAAAUUCAAAGGCGGCUUCGGCUGUCACUUAUGGAUGGACCCGCGUCGCAUUAGCUAGUUGGUGAGGUAACGGCUCACCAAGGCAACGAUGCGUAGCCGACCUGAGAGGGUGAUCGGCCACACUGGGACUGAGACACGGCCCAGACUCCUACGGGAGGCAGCAGUAGGGAAUCUUCCGCAAUGGACGAAAGUCUGACGGAGCAACGCCGCGUGAGUGAUGAAGGCUUUCGGGUCGUAAAACUCUGUUGUUAGGGAAGAACAAGUGCUAGUUGAAUAAGCUGGCACCUUGACGGUACCUAACCAGAAAGCCACGGCUAACUACGUGCCAGCAGCCGCGGUAAUACGUAGGUGGCAAGCGUUAUCCGGAAUUAUUGGGCGUAAAGCGCGCGCAGGUGGUUUCUUAAGUCUGAUGUGAAAGCCCACGGCUCAACCGUGGAGGGUCAUUGGAAACUGGGAGACUUGAGUGCAGAAGAGGAAAGUGGAAUUCCAUGUGUAGCGGUGAAAUGCGUAGAGAUAUGGAGGAACACCAGUGGCGAAGGCGACUUUCUGGU
Molecule: ribosomal RNA, 690 nt
Filed under: Bacillus sp. FJAT-4573
Lineage: Bacteria; Bacillati; Bacillota; Bacilli; Caryophanales; Bacillaceae
Description: bacterial SSU rRNA
Rfam family: Bacterial small subunit ribosomal RNA
Source: RNAcentral